Molecule: long non-coding RNA, 329 nt
Filed under: Homo sapiens (human)
Lineage: Eukaryota; Metazoa; Chordata; Mammalia; Primates; Hominidae
Description: non-protein coding lnc-CCNJ-3:1
Source: RNAcentral
CUUGUAUCUCAUGUUUAGUUAAAACACUGUGUUAUUUGAGGGUAACAUUUUUUUUGUUAAUUUUCCCAAAUCCCUUCCUGAUGAUACCUCACACACUGGCUUUUCUGGCCACAGCACAAAACUCAGCUGAUUAUCUACAGAGAACAGUCUACAACUCUAUAAUUAUUCCUGUGCCACCUUCCUGGUUCUAACCGAAAGUACAGACUAUUAGACAUCCAUAAUUACGGUUGGAAUAAUUUCUCCUGUUAACAUUAUUCUUACACUUGCCCACCCAAAAACUUGGAACACUUUUCUGCCCACUGACAUAAUUUCAAUUAUGACAUAAUUUC